This 253-nucleotide ribosomal RNA is filed under the name uncultured archaeon. RNAcentral's name for it is "partial 16S ribosomal RNA". It matches the Rfam family "Archaeal small subunit ribosomal RNA", at positions 474 to 726 of the family's 1478-position model. The record is from RNAcentral.
UCCCAGCAGUCCAAGUCGCAGCCACAAUUAUUGGGUCUAAAACAUCCGUAGCUUGCUGUGCAAGUCUUUUGUCAAAUCGGGCCUCUUAAGGGUCCGGCGAGCAUAAGAUACUGCGCAGCUAGGGACCGGUAGACGUAAAGAGUACGAAUAGAGUAGCGGUAAAAUGUGUUGAUCCUAUUCGGACUAACGACAGCGAAGGCACUUUACGAGCACGGAUCCGACAGUGAGGGAUGAAGGCUAGGGGCGCAAAGUG